Felis catus (domestic cat) is the source of this 1154-nucleotide long non-coding RNA. RefSeq lists it as uncharacterized. The record is from RefSeq and is a predicted model, not a curated record. The transcript is spliced from 3 exons. NCBI's taxonomy places the organism in Eukaryota, Metazoa, Chordata, Mammalia, Carnivora, Felidae.
GGCGCUGGGGGUUAAUCUAGGGGCCGGGCUGCGGGGCCGGGAGGGAGGGGUCGUCACUGUCCCCGAGGGGGCUGGCUCUUCACAAAUGUGCGGGAAGUUCCAAGUCCCUAGGCUUUAACCUGGGCUUGAAGACGGGAGGUCGCCGGUCCCCGGCGAGGGCCCGCGGCGGGAAGCAGUCCCGGCCUGAGAGAGGGAGGCCCCGGGGGGUCCAGGCGCAGAGACCCGCAGGCCGAGCCCGGCCGGGCAUCGCCCCAAGCCAGGCUCGCUUCCCCUGGAUUCUGAACUGUGCCGUCCACGGCGCCUGAGAAACGGGCCCGCCUAUCUCUGUGCCCCCUCCUUUUCCCUAGCCCCUGCCUGGCAUGGCUGAAAAGGGGGCCAUUCGGCCCUUUGGUGCUUCCCAGCUUCCCUCUCCCGGCUGCCUAAGUUCAGAAUAACUCCGCGCUGGGCACGGGGGUUGCCGGGAGUGCACGAGGAUACCGGCGAGGGUACAGGAGUAUUGGGAGAGGAACUGGCCCCAGCACACCAACCCCCUUCCCUAAGUAUCACUACGGGGCGGGCCCGGGGCCGAUCUUGGGCUCAGGCCCACCAGCGUUUUCCAAACCUAGAACCCCCUCCCACAAGCCCGUCACCAGGCCAAGGCCUCUAGGCUGCCGGUUCUCUUUCCUAGCAGGCUCUGCCCUCUUUGGCAGCACUGACCUCACUGGGGCUGGGUCCACUCCAGGACGGCUCAUCUUGGCCACAUCACGCAUGGAAUGGGGUGCUCACAACCUGUACACUGGGGAGCAGCUUCAGCUGUUGGAAACUUCCCAUCCUGCCUGGGCCCUUGGAGCCAAGCAGAAAAAGUCACCUCCCUUUCCUCCUGAUGGCUCCUUAGAAAUGGGAGGCUCUGAGGACAGACAGAUCUGGUUUAAGUCCUGGCCUUGCCUUGGAUGUCCGCUCCAGGAGGUCCUGGGCCUAGAAGUGGGCCCUGCACAGCAGACGCUACAAGCUCAUUUGGUGAACGAAUGAAUGACAUCAUCUCCUUUAAAAAGCUAGUCCUGGGGCACCUGGGUGGCUCAGUUGGUUGGGCGUCCGACUUCAGCUCAGGUCAUGAUCUCACAGCUCGUGAGUUCGAGCCCCACGUCGGGCUCUGUGCCAACAACUCAGAGCCUGGA